UACAGAGGUCUCAACCGUUGUUCGGAUUCAUUGGGCGUAAAGGGUGCGUAGGCGGUCGUGCAAGUCGGAUGUGAAAUCUCAGGGCUCAACCCUGAAACUGUAUUCGAUACUGCGCGGCUAGAGUGCUGGAGGGGAGACUGGAAUUUACGGUGUAGCAGUGAAAUGCGUAGAUAUCGUAAGGAAGACCAGUGGCGAAGGCGAGUCUCUGGACAGCAACUGACGCUGAGGCACGAAGGCCAGGGGAGCAAACGGG
RNAcentral lists this ribosomal RNA (253 nucleotides) under uncultured bacterium. Its description in RNAcentral is "partial 16S ribosomal RNA". It matches the Rfam family "Bacterial small subunit ribosomal RNA", at positions 524 to 776 of the family's 1533-position model. The record is from RNAcentral.